UACGAAGGGGGCUAGCGUUGCUCGGAAUCACUGGGCGGAAAGCGCACGUAGGCGGACUCUUAAGUCGGUGGUGAAAUCCUGGAGCUCAACUCCAGAACUGCCUUCGAUACUGAGAGUCUCGAGUCCGAGAGAGGUGAGUGGAACUGCGAGUGUAGAGGUGAAAUUCGUAGAUAUUCGGAAGAACACCAGUGGCGAAGGCGGCUCACUGGUCCGGUACUGACGCUGAGGUGCGAAAGCGUGGGGAUCAAACAGG
RNAcentral lists this ribosomal RNA (253 nucleotides) under uncultured bacterium. RNAcentral's name for it is "partial 16S ribosomal RNA". It matches the Rfam family "Bacterial small subunit ribosomal RNA", at positions 524 to 776 of the family's 1533-position model. The record is from RNAcentral.